UCUCUGGUGUAGUUGGUAGCGCUUUGAAUUAGUAAUCAUAAGUCCUAGGUUCAAGUCCCAGACGUGGUGAAAAA
Molecule: non-coding RNA, 74 nt
Organism: Halocaridina rubra (Hawaiian volcano shrimp)
Lineage: Eukaryota; Metazoa; Arthropoda; Malacostraca; Decapoda; Atyidae
Source: the annotation of a GenBank genome assembly